Molecule: ribosomal RNA, 873 nt
Filed under: Porites sp. XNL-2012
Lineage: Eukaryota; Metazoa; Cnidaria; Anthozoa; Scleractinia; Poritidae
Description: partial 12S ribosomal RNA
Rfam family: Bacterial small subunit ribosomal RNA
Source: RNAcentral
GGGAACAAAUGGGGGGUGUUGCGCGGCGAGGCAGCAGUAACAAGAAUUUUGUGCAAUAUACGAAAGUAAGACACAGAGAGGGCACCUUUUCUAGUCCGUCAAAUUAAGUGCCAGCAGACGCGGUGAAACUUAAGGGCUAGUCUUAUAGGCAAAAGCGUAAAGGGUGUGAUAGGCCGCCUUAUUUAAGAGAGUAAAUGGAAUUUUUCUGUAAUGGUGGUAUGUGUAAAUAGGAAAAAGAACUUUAGACGUGAAGACUAUUUACUUCUAAGAUUAUAAUGUGUUGGCUAAAACACGAGAGUGUGGGGAGCAAACAGGAUUAGGUACCCUGGUAGUCCAUACUGUAAAUAAUGAAAAAGAUGUGAAGCAAUUCUAAAAGGUAAGAACUUUUCCGCUUGAGUAGUACGAUCGCAAGAUUAAAAUUCAAAAAACUUGGCUGUUCACUGUUUUGAUUAGAGGAGCGUGUCGUUUAAUUCGAUAGUCCGCGAGAGACCUUACCCAAACUUGAAUCCCUCAUUGACAGGUAUUGCAUGGCCGUCGUCAAUUUGUGUAUUAAACAUAAAACAAAUUCAACCCAGUGGUUUGUCUAUUGGAUGAAGUCAGGUCUUAUUGUCCUAAUGUUUGGGGAUUAGAUGCGCUACAUUUUUUUAUACAAUGGGAAACUUUGAAUGUGAAACCCAAAAAUAAGAGUUCGGAAGGUGUCUGGAAUAUAACGGAAAGUUGGAUUUAAUAGUAAUUGAAAAGUAGAGCGUUUCAAUGAAAUUUAUUCAGUGUUAGUACAAAUUGCCCGUCGCCUUUGCUUAGAAAGGUUGUUUGGUUGCCCCUCAAGAGGGUUCCUAAUAUCUUCGAGGUAGAGUAAGUCGUAACAUAGUAGAG